Molecule: ribosomal RNA, 344 nt
Filed under: Bacillus licheniformis
Lineage: Bacteria; Bacillati; Bacillota; Bacilli; Caryophanales; Bacillaceae
Description: bacterial SSU rRNA
Rfam family: Bacterial small subunit ribosomal RNA
Source: RNAcentral
CGUUGUCCGGAAUUAUUGGGCGUAAAGCGCGCGCAGGCGGUUUCUUAAGUCUGAUGUGAAAGCCCCCGGCUCAACCGGGGAGGGUCAUUGGAAACUGGGGAACUUGAGUGCAGAAGAGGAGAGUGGAAUUCCACGUGUAGCGGUGAAAUGCGUAGAGAUGUGGAGGAACACCAGUGGCGAAGGCGACUCUCUGGUCUGUAACUGACGCUGAGGCGCGAAAGCGUGGGGAGCGAACAGGAUUAGAUACCCUGGUAGUCCACGCCGUAAACGAUGAGUGCUAAGUGUUAGAGGGUUUCCGCCCUUUAGUGCUGCAGCAAACGCAUUAAGCACUCCGCCUGGGGAGU